AGAGUUUGAUCCUGGCUUAGGAUGAACGCUGGCGGCGUGCCUAACACAUGCAAGUCGAGCGGAGCCACAGGGUGAUCCUUCGGGUGAUCCCUAUGACUUAGCGGCGGAUGGGUGAGUAACACGUGGGUAAUCUGCCCUGCACUGGGGGAUAACAGUUGGAAACGACUGUUAAUACCGCAUAUGCACACGUGGCCGCAUGGCCGUGGGUGGAAAGAUUCAUCGGUGCAGGAUGAGCCCGCGUCGGAUUAACUAGUUGGCAGGGUAACGGCCUACCAAGGUGAUGAUCCGUAGCCGGCCUGAGAGGGCGACCGGCCACAUUGGGACUGAGACACGGCCCAAACUCCUACGGGAGGCAGCAGUGGGGAAUAUUGCACAAUGGGCGCAAAGCCUGAUGCAGCGACGCCGCGUGAAGGAAGAAGUAUUUCGGUAUGUAAACUUCUAUCAGCGGGGAAGAAGAUGACGGUACCCGACUAAGAAGCCCCGGCUAACUACGUGCCAGCCGCCGC
Molecule: ribosomal RNA, 506 nt
Filed under: uncultured bacterium
Lineage: Bacteria
Description: bacterial SSU rRNA
Rfam family: Bacterial small subunit ribosomal RNA
Source: RNAcentral